This 82-nucleotide transfer RNA is filed under the name Flavobacteriaceae bacterium. RNAcentral describes it as "tRNA-Leu". It matches the Rfam family "tRNA". From Rfam's summary of the family: Transfer RNA (tRNA) molecules are approximately 80 nucleotides in length. Their secondary structure includes four short double-helical elements and three loops (D, anti-codon, and T loops). The record is from RNAcentral. RNAcentral also lists the same sequence under 1 other name. Lineage: Bacteria; Pseudomonadati; Bacteroidota; Flavobacteriia; Flavobacteriales; Flavobacteriaceae.
GCUUCGGUGGCGAAACCGGUAGACGCGCUGGAUUCAAAAUCCAGUUCCAUUUGGAGUGUGGGUUCGAUUCCCACCCGAAGUA